UACGGAUGGAGCAAGCGUUACUCGGCAUUACUGGGCGUAAAGGGCGCGUAGGCGAUUUUGUAAGUCUUGUGUGAAAGCCCAAAGCCUAACUUUGGAAGUGCACAAGAUACUGCGAGAAUUGAGUUCCGGAGAGGAAGAUGGAAUUCCCGGUGUAGCGGUGAAAUGCGCAGAUAUCAGGAGGAACACCAAUGGCGAAGGCAGCUCGCUGGAACGGUACUGACGCUGAGGCGCGAAAGCGUGGGGAGCGAACAGG
Molecule: ribosomal RNA, 253 nt
Filed under: uncultured bacterium
Lineage: Bacteria
Description: partial 16S ribosomal RNA
Rfam family: Bacterial small subunit ribosomal RNA
Source: RNAcentral